GAAAAUCGUUACUGUGGGAUACGCCGCAGAUAAACGUGCGCUCCAGGGGCCUACGGUGGCGGCGAAGGGGACAACCACAGCGGGCCGAGUCCUCGCCGAAGGGCGGGAGGACCGACGACAAACCAGCUGCUCUGGAGGAAGAGAAUCUCCGCUAUAAACACGUAAAUGAAACUGCGUCAGAAGAGGAGCCUGGGUUGAGAUCCGGUGGGAAUUUCCGCCAAGGCGGCCGGAACGUAGCGACAUCGCGUCAACUUGUGUACGCAACUCGGCGUCAAAACUUGACUUGGGGCUUUUCACCGAGGAUGAGAGAGCGAUGUAAACAAAAGACAAAACGCGUGAAGGCGAAGCCCCAAAAAGGAUGCUGCGCAAGAGAUGGACAGUGCGUAAUCACGCAGUGGAAGAGUACCGUCCGUGUUACGUAGUUAACAAUGACAAAACACCUAACGAAUCGGCACCCUCGUAUUUCACUUUUAACAAUCCGAUUAAAGCGGACACGUCAAUUUCUUUUGUAUUGCGUUUUAUAAUUCGAUGGUUAAACUAGGUGGACGUGGGUGAUGACGCAUCUGGCGUCGCGUUUCAGGUGACAACAACAUUUUGCUGCGUCACAAGCUGCCAGGAGGUCAACAAUAAGCUGGCUGGCUCCUUUUUAGUGCGCACUUGAUAUGAUGAAACUCGUUGCGGCUCUCGAGCUCAUGGGGGCGCUGCUGAGAAGCGCUCAACCCUCCUUCCAGAAGGAUGCUGGCAUUCGAUAGCAGCAUCGGAUAAAUAAACAGACGGGGACAGAACGAAUGCAGAUGCUUCCAUUCAGAACGUAUGAGUCAGUGGAUGUUUUGAUGGGUUGGUGAAUCACACGCUUUGGAAGUCACCGGUUACACAAAAUUCCCUGGGCAGACACCACUUCAAAAAUACAAUGAAAUGUUACAUUGAAGUAAUGAUUUCUGGAAAACAGAUACUAUAACAUCAGCUGAGUAACAGGUGGGGUGGGUUUCAUUUGUAUCCAAUUUUUGAAUCAGCUAUCCAUCCAGAACUUGGCAAGAGAAGCGGGGUACGCACUGUGCAAUGAGCCUAACGUGUGAGUUUUUAUGGGAAGAAGCCAAAGUGCCAAGAGAAAACUCACGCAAGCAGAGUGAGAACAGUCAAGAUUUGAACCCCGGAUCCUGCGAACUGCGAGGAUAACAUGCUGUACUGCUCACCCACUGUGCUGCUAAUGUUUAUAAAACAAACAAACAAAAACAAUUAACAGCCACAAAUAGCUCCUUGACCACACACUCGCUUGCCUGUUUCCUCUCUUGUGGCAAUUUGCCUAUUGCAUCAUGACUUUUUGAUUCCAUUAAAACAAAAUUACAAUACAGUAUUACCUCUCACAAGUUAUGCUCUCUUGAGAAUAGUUCACUUGUGAACCCGCAAUUUCCUAUCCAGGGCUGCAGUUUUCCCAUUUAAAAUUGCUUGGUUGGUGACUAUACCAAGUGUCACAAAGUGCACUUUUUGGAGGAUGGUCCACUUAAGUACUGAGCCGCCAUGUCGCGCGAUUUGUAGCGUGACUUAGGUGCAUCAAGAUGGACAUUGGGAAGCGGCCAUCUGUCAGUCUACCUGAAUGAUAAUUGUCAUUAAAAAUGCUACCGAAUAAUAACAUCUACAACUGGUAGGAGGCCGCACUUUCAUCCAUACUACACACAGUGUAGGCGCUGCUGUUUUGGUUAGCAACAAGUUGAAAUGGUAGUUGUUACUAUAUUGCAUGUGUGUGAAUGAUAUCAUUCAUAAAAUGAGUUAAGAGUUACUACCUGACAAAAGAGGCAUUGAGUAGAUGACUCAUUGUGAUAUAACAUCUGUUUGAGGGUUGCCGUUAAAUACUGUAUUUUCUCUGAAGCUGUUUCAAUUAAUCUGCCCUCAUGCCUGUGUGACAAUAGGUCACGCUGACAAACCUGUUGACACGGACGCCUUUCCAGCUGGUCACAGUCUAGGGAGGUGUGCUUGCUCACCUGCCGCUGAACUAGCCGAGAGUGUCGAGAUUAAAGGGCUUCCUCAAAUCUCCUUCGAGGACCGUGAACGCUGUGCCAUCUGCAGUCCAAAUGUCCUUUCCAAGGAUGACCAGUGCAACAAGUGACCCACUUUUGCGGAUAAGGAAGCAUGACCUCAAUAGUUAUUUUGCCGCUCCCUUUGAAGGGAGCGGUGCAGCCUCUCGCGCCAAAUUAGAAACCUAUGCACUCGUGAAGUGUCUUGUCAUCUUUUGCUGUGCCCCGGAGGGAUGCGACCAUGAUCAAUAAAAACAUUUACAAAGAGUGCAACCUAUUGUGAUGGCUGUUGAAAGCCACAUGCAUUCUUCAUGAAAGCUUAAGCGAGCAACUCAAGAUUGAAGAAUUGGAUGCGAGAGAUGCUAAAAUUAAUCCUGGGCCGCACUCGACCAUGUUGAUGAUGAUAAUAUUAAUAGACAAGUGAAGCAGCGCUUUUUCAUAGGCAUCAUUAGCAGCUAGCAAGCUUGCCAAAAUAGUCUUAAAACAGGAAGUGUGCAGAAACUGCCUCAGCACCUCGUCUUUUCUUAUCAUUGAAGCAUAAUUGGACAUUACAUGUUGUCUAAAUAUAAUGCAAGCUCAGAGUAGCCUUCAGGAACAAUUUUUUUAACGAUAUUACCAAUUUAUCACAGACAGCAGAAGUAAUAUACCACUUUGAGCUAGUUCAGAGCAAAAUGGAGGCAUCCAUUCAUGACGCUGACAGGCAACCAUUUGGUGAUGAUGUCUGCUUUUGGCCCUAGGUGGGAGCUAAGGAUUAACUCUAGCCCUUGCCCAGAACAAGGGCAGGAUUAGCAGUCGAAAAGAGAUGAAUAAAAAGGCAUAGUUUCAUUCUUAAUAUGCAGUACAGGUGCACAACACGAUCAAGUUUGGUAGGAUCUCACACAAGUCACACAGAGCAAAUUAAGACAACAACGGCACUGUUAAAAUUCAGAAACGGCAGUUGGCUUGCACCAUUAUUUCCAAGAUUCCAAAGUUUAGUUCAUUAUUGAAAACUAGGGACUCGCCCAGCAGGGCUUCAUUAAUUCACCAUUUGUUUGUUUUGGAGAGGAGGCCAGGUUAGGGGUGGCAGGUGUGUUGAUUAGUUGUUAAUACUUAACGCACAUUGAUCUUUUUGUCUUCAAAAUAAUGCAGAACGUCAAAUAAUGCUUUGUAUGUCAAAAUAAUGUGAUGGAAAACCUUACCUAGACGUGAAUCCUCCUUCCAUGUUCUCCAUUGUCUCAAAUGAGUCCGCAAACCCGAUUUGAGGCGGCCAUCGUGCUUUUUAACCCUUGACCCUUGCACUGCAGUAAUCCUACGUGGCCAGUAAGGGGCGUACUAAACAAAAACUACCGGUACCAUGCUAUGGACAAGACUUCAACAGAACUGCAUUGCAAAAAUGUAUCCAUUAUAUGAAUAAUUUACUUUUUAUUUCCACAAACGAUGAUUAAAAAAACUGUGAUUAAUACAAAAAUACACAACUCCCUCCAGGGAUAAUGGAUGCAACACAAUUAUUACUACCCAUUAGUUUUGUAAGACAGAUCAACAUUCUGCAGUUUGAAUAUGAACACUGUGCUUGAACAUGAAAACAAAAAACUUGAACAA
This is a long non-coding RNA of Hippocampus comes (tiger tail seahorse), 3590 nucleotides long. RefSeq lists it as uncharacterized. The record is from RefSeq and is a predicted model, not a curated record. The transcript has 3 exons. Lineage: Eukaryota; Metazoa; Chordata; Actinopteri; Syngnathiformes; Syngnathidae.